ACCUGCCUGGCUCAGUCUGUAGAGCAUGCGACUCAGGACCUCAGGGUUGUGGGUUCAUGCCCCAUGUUGGGUA
This 73-nucleotide transfer RNA is filed under the name Ailuropoda melanoleuca (giant panda). It matches the Rfam family "tRNA". From Rfam's summary of the family: Transfer RNA (tRNA) molecules are approximately 80 nucleotides in length. Their secondary structure includes four short double-helical elements and three loops (D, anti-codon, and T loops). Further hydrogen bonds mediate the characteristic L-shaped molecular structure. tRNAs have two regions of fundamental functional importance: the anti-codon, which is responsible for specific mRNA codon recognition, and the 3' end, to which the tRNAs corresponding amino acid is attached (by aminoacyl-tRNA synthetases). tRNAs cope with the degeneracy of the genetic code in two manners: having more than one tRNA (with a specific anti-codon) for a particular amino acid; and 'wobble' base-pairing, i.e. permitting non-standard base-pairing at the 3rd anti-codon position. Lineage: Eukaryota; Metazoa; Chordata; Mammalia; Carnivora; Ursidae. The record is from Rfam by way of RNAcentral.